CUACACAUGCAGUCGAACGAAGUAGCAAUACUUAGUGGCGAACGGGUGAGUAUAAUGUGGGUAUCUGCCUUUUGGUUUGGAAUAACACGGGGAAACUUGUGCUAAUACCGGAUAAGCCUUCACAGGGAAAGUUUUAACGCCAAAAGAUGAGCCCGCACUUGAUUAGCUAGUUGGUAAGGUAAUAGCUUACCAAGGCUACGAUCAAUAGCUGAUCUGAGAGGAUGAUCAGCCACAUUGGGACUGAGACACGGCCCAAACUCCUACGGGAGGCAGCAGUGGGGAAUCUUGCACAAUGGGGGAAACCCUGAUGCAGCGAUGCCGCGUGAGUGAAGAAGGCCUUUGGGUUGUAAAACUCUUUCGUCGGGGAAGAAAAUGACUGUACCCGAAUAAGAAGGUCCGGCUAACUUCGUGCCAGCAGCCGCGGUAAUACGAAGGGACCUAGCGUAGUUCGGAAUUACUGGGCUUAAAGAGCUCGUAGGUGGUUAGAAAAGUUGGUGGUGAAAUCCCAAGGCUUAACCUUGGAACUGCCACCAAAACUUUUUGACUAGAGUAUGAUAGAGGAAAGUGGAAUUUCUAGUGUAGAGGUGAAAUUCGUAGAUAUUAGAAAGAACACCGAUNGCGAAGGCAGCUUUCUGGAUCAUUACUGACACUGAGGAGCGAAAGCAUGGGUAGCGAAGAGGAUUAGAUACCCUCGUAGUCCAUGCCGUAAACGAUGUGUGCUAGACGUUGGAAAUUUAAUUUUCAGUGUCGCAGCAAAAGCGUUAAGCACACCGCCUGGGGAGUACGACCGCAAGGUUAAAACUCAAAUGAAUUGACGGGGACCCGCACAAGUAGUGGAGCAUGUGGUUUAAUUCGAAGAUACGCGCAGAACCUUACCAACACUUGACAUGUUCGUCGCGACUCUAGAGAUUAGAGUCUUCGGUUCGGCCGGACGAAACACAGGUGCUGCAUGGCUGUCGUCAGCUCGUGUCGUGAGAUGUUGGGUUAAGUCCCGCAACGAGCGCAACCCCUACUUUAGUUGCUACCAUUUAGUUGGGC
RNAcentral lists this ribosomal RNA (1038 nucleotides) under uncultured bacterium. Its description in RNAcentral is "bacterial SSU rRNA". It matches the Rfam family "Bacterial small subunit ribosomal RNA", at positions 49 to 1136 of the family's 1533-position model. The record is from RNAcentral.